Erpetoichthys calabaricus (reedfish) is the source of this 492-nucleotide long non-coding RNA. RefSeq lists it as uncharacterized. NCBI's taxonomy places the organism in Eukaryota, Metazoa, Chordata, Cladistia, Polypteriformes, Polypteridae. The record is from RefSeq and is a predicted model, not a curated record. The transcript is spliced from 2 exons.
AGGAACCAGAUUCUGCCACCGCAAGGCAUUUGUGGGAUUGUGUGAGGGGGUUGGUCCUUAAACAUGGCAGAAGUGACUAACACUGGCUUGAGCAGACUCCUUGGCACAGCAUCCAGAGUGUCUACACAUUAAUCAGCUAGCACUAAAAAAUAAUGAAUCUGCUCCAUGGGAAAGAAAACGGAAGUGAGGAUUCAGUGGUGCGUUGAGGUGACUGUGCGAAAGAAAGAAACACCACCGCCAUGAAGUCGCCUCCAGUACCUAACCAUGCAAUAUCACUUCCGCAUUCCCUCUGUCGACCCCUGAUGAUGUCAGCAUCCCAGCAUCCAUCUUGGUACCUUCCUAGCAGCCUUCACUUUCAUUUCCGGUCCCUCUCCAUAAAGAUUCCCCCAGUUUGCCAUCUUGCUGUCUGAUAUAUAUAUAUAUUGUUAUGAACAAUAUUUCUGACCUGAAACUACUUUUUACAGUACACGGGGCCAGAAAACCCCAACUCUU